RNAcentral lists this long non-coding RNA (227 nucleotides) under Ananas comosus (pineapple). RNAcentral's name for it is "long non-coding RNA (ACOM_LNC010816)". The record is from RNAcentral. Lineage: Eukaryota; Viridiplantae; Streptophyta; Magnoliopsida; Poales; Bromeliaceae.
GUAUAAAAAAUUUUCUAUAAAAAAUUCAAGCAAUUUGAAUUGCUCUACACCGUUAAACAAGCAAACGGCUCAUAUAGGUCGUAAAAAAUUAUCGAUUUUAUGACACUUUGAUCACCAUGUAAAUCAUUAUCAAAAUUUAUGAAAUUUAGUUUCUAGAUAUUUCAAAUACUCUAGAUCAACUUCAACGGCUCCGAUCAUCGAUUUGGAAUCUUGUGAUUUGCACUAAA